Bactrocera neohumeralis is the source of this 755-nucleotide long non-coding RNA. RefSeq lists it as uncharacterized. The transcript is spliced from 2 exons. NCBI's taxonomy places the organism in Eukaryota, Metazoa, Arthropoda, Insecta, Diptera, Tephritidae. The record is from RefSeq and is a predicted model, not a curated record.
UGUCUUGUGUUGUUAUGUUGGUCAGAUUCUAAUCAUUUUUUGACUCAUAUCCAGCAAUACAAUAAUUGCUUUCAAAUGACAUCAUUUGGCGCAACAAAAGUUAUUGGAGACAAUUUUAUGCCUACUUUCAAGGUAUAUACAUAAAAUCAGGGUCAAAUAUAUCAUCGAACAGGUUCCUUAUUGGCAAUGCCUGAUGAAGACUAUAAAUUUUUGCAAAUAUAUUUUAUGGGCGAUUCAGCAAGAGAAGUCGAUCAGCGUUGCGCACACAACAACUCAGUGAAAAGAUCCAUUGUGAAACAACUUCAAAAAUUUUUCCAUCAACACAAUGAAUUAGUUGCAUUAUUCACAACUGCAUUAGACCGCAUGUCAUCAGAUAAUCAUAAAAGUGUCAUCAAAGCCGAUUAGUCGCCUGCAGGACAAUAUGCUGGACGUUUUAAUGCGCCAACAAUUGACGAAGUGGCUAUUGUCGUCGUGGGAGAAAAUUUAGAAAACCAAGACAUUGUUUUACUUCGACGGAACGAUCAACUUCAGCGUGUGUCUGAAACACAUCGAUCAUACAGAGAACAUAAAACAUAGAGAAGGUGCAGGUUCGAUGUCGAACAAUUUAUAAGAUUGGAGUACGGAAUUCACCUCACAACUUCAGAAUUCACGAUGUGAAAUGUUAACAUUUUUAACAGUUCUCCACAUACUCAAACAGAGAAUAUGAAGAGAAAUAAUAUAUGUACGGCAUAUGACGCCAUAGCAUGUAUGCGCAA